RNAcentral lists this unclassified non-coding RNA (204 nucleotides) under uncultured Phellodon. Its description in RNAcentral is "sequence contains ITS2". The record is from RNAcentral. Lineage: Eukaryota; Fungi; Basidiomycota; Agaricomycetes; Thelephorales; Thelephoraceae.
AAUUCUCAACUGCCUUUAUGGUGAAGUUGGAUUUGGAGGAUCUUGCUGGCGCUCUUCAAUGAGCUUUGUCGGCUCCUCUCGAAUGCAUGAGCCUUCCUGUGCAACAUUGUGAAGCGACUCCGAUGUGAUAAUUAUCUACGUUGGACGUCGUGUUUGCUUUGGGCGCGAACGGAUUGCAAAAACGCAGAUAUGCGUCCUUGACAA